RNAcentral lists this transfer RNA (85 nucleotides) under Felis catus (domestic cat). It matches the Rfam family "tRNA". From Rfam's summary of the family: Transfer RNA (tRNA) molecules are approximately 80 nucleotides in length. Their secondary structure includes four short double-helical elements and three loops (D, anti-codon, and T loops). Lineage: Eukaryota; Metazoa; Chordata; Mammalia; Carnivora; Felidae. The record is from Rfam by way of RNAcentral.
GCAUGAGUGGCUCAGUGGGUUAAGCAUCUGACUUCGGCUCAGGUCAUGAUCUAGCAGUUUGUGAGUUGAAGCCUCACAUCAGGCU